Molecule: ribosomal RNA, 253 nt
Filed under: uncultured bacterium
Lineage: Bacteria
Description: partial 16S ribosomal RNA
Rfam family: Bacterial small subunit ribosomal RNA
Source: RNAcentral
UACAGAGGAUGCAAGCGUUAUCCGGAAUGAUUGGGCGUAAAACGUCUGUAGGUGGCUUUUUAAGUCCGCCGUCAAAUCCCAGGGCUCAACUCUGGACAGGCGGUGGAAACUACCAAGCCGGAGUACGGUAGGGGCAGAGGGAAUUUCCGGUGGAGCGGUGAAAUGCGUUGAUAUCGGAAGGAACUCCGGCGGCGAAAGCGAUGCACUGGCUGAUUUCUGACGCUGAGGUGCGAAAGCCAGGGGAGCAAACGGG